Molecule: ribosomal RNA, 119 nt
Filed under: Gonium pectorale
Lineage: Eukaryota; Viridiplantae; Chlorophyta; Chlorophyceae; Chlamydomonadales; Volvocaceae
Source: RNAcentral
UGGAUCGAUCAUACCAUGAUGAAAACUGCCCAUCCCAUCAGCACUGGGCACAUAAGCAUCAUUGGGCCAGAUCAGUAGUACGGUGGGGGACCACGUGCGAACCCCUGGUGUCGAUCUGU